AGCGUCGUGCCGCGUUUCGAAGUGCCGACCAUGUUGUCAUCCGGCCCCAAACACAAACGAAAAAAAAGAAAAGGUGAAGCUGCAGCGGACGUCUGAAAAGGGAGGGAGGAGAGGGGCGCUGACAGCAAAUCGCGGCGCGCAAGCGUUCCUCUUUCCGCGCAUUUUGUUUUCCCUUUUUCGGCUGGUCUUCGUUCCGGGGACUCACUUGCAGCCCUCAACAAGGAGCCGGAGCGUGCCUGUGUGCGGUUGUGUGUGUUUGUGUUCCGAAAGGAGCGGUGCGCUACAAGGACGUUCACCCAAACGCGUUUGGCCGCCCAUCGCCUUACCUUGCUUUCCCGCGCCACCGUAUCACGUAGCCGGUGAGGUCUCCACCCCUUCUGUGGUUCUUUACUCUCUCGUUAUCCGUGGUGGUAUGUUUUUGCUCUUUGUGAUUUGAUGGGCAUCAUCGGCCUUCCUCCCCUUGCGUCAGCUCUCCCGCCCGCACCACUCAUGUGUGUUCGGCUUUCUCUCAUCACUCGACAUUCGCGGUCUUUCGGUUGACUUGGCUGACCCUCCACACCCGCCCUCCUUCUUCAUCCAUUGCUGUCUCACUCUUUCGCUCAGUCGCUCACUUUCUCACGGAUCUUUUUUUUUCUCGUGCCUUCACGUUCUGAACUCCCCUCCCUUCUGCUGGUCCUUCCUGCCACUGACUUCCGCGCUUCCUAUUCUGCGCUUUCCUUCGCUGUCUCUUGUAUAUGUGUGCACAUGCACGUGUGUGUGUAUGUGUGGCUCCUGUCUCUGUCUUGUCCUUACCUCCAACUCGUGUGCUCCACCGCCGUUCCUCGUCGCGCUGUCCGUCAACUCUUAUCCACUUCGCUGAUACAUUUCUCUCUAUUUUUAUGUGAAUACAUAUAUAGCACAUAAACAUACGUAUCUAUAUGUAUUUAUUGAUUGUAUUCUCUCGUCUUUCUCUCUUCUUUUUCUUUUUUUUUUUGGUGGGUGCGUACUUCGCCUGAGUGAGGCGUAUUGCUAUUGUGGUUGUUGUCCCUCGUUGUCAGCCACACUGCUGCGGAUCAGCAAGCCACAAACAUAGAAGGAGGCAGAAAAGGGAGAGGGAACGAGGGGGCGACGGGAGGGAGUAGGAGGAGUCGCGUGACGAGUGCACUGUUGUCGCUCUCGAUUCUCUCGCUUAGAUCCUCCUUCCGCCUUGGCGCGCGUUCUGUCCCCCAACGUCUUCAGUUUCUACGGAGGCGCGCACAGGAGCAAACACCACGAGUGCCGAUUUCCGUUCAGUGUUGAGCUCCAUCGUUAUCAUCAUCGGACAGCCCACACACACAAACACACACACACACAUAGAGUAGAAGUGUGCAGCAGCUGUCUUCAGCUUCUUUUCGUUCGUUUGUUUCCAACCACCGGCUUGCUAUUCAUCCUUGUUCUUGCGAGAAACGCCCCGCGCGUUGUUUACGCCCUCCCCUCUCCUUUCCUCCACAUACAGACGGCAUAGGCGGGCAUGAUAAUCGAAUGGAGUUCCCCGUGUUUGUGGCCUCCGACGUUCACGGCGAGAAGGUGAACCUCGCGCUUCGCUACAAUCCACGCACAACAACGCUGGAUCGUUUCCUGAGCGUCGCGUCGCGCUGCUUUGAUGACGUCGCACAUUUAACGCGUCGGGGCUGUCUUCAGCCAUUUUCUGCUGCCUACAUCUACAGAGAUGUACAGUGCCAGUGGGACGUGCUAGAGGAUUGCACCCAGCUUUCACCCUUCUGCCAAGUCUAUGUGUUCCGCCAGCUGUUCAACGAGGUCGUCGCGGCGAUUUCCGACCCUCUGGACGCGUCGCAGCUACUCUCGGUGCACGACAGAAAAGCCGACUGUGCGACUUCUUGUACAGGUGCAUCGUUCUUGGCGGGUUUGCCACCUCUCAACUCAUCGAAAUCGACCUCGCCGAUCCGUGUCGCCGCCGACCGCUGGGCAGUUUCGCAAAGCCGCCAGCAUCCCGAGACGGCGAGGCCUCGCUUUGGGGUGCCGUCGCUGCUGUGCAAGAACGACAGUCCACUGGUACAUGCGACACACCCGACAAAAUCAGAGAGGGCAACUCAUAUCGGUGAUGAGGCGGAAGGUUUCCAUCAUGUACGGUCCGCGGACAGUGCGGCAGCAUUCCGCUGUGUGAAGUCACACCGCUUUCGUAUGCAGAUCUUGUCCCCUCCAGUGGAGACUCAGAUGCACCGUCAAGACGCGGCGCGCAACGCGACAAGCACGUCCGUUCAUUUAGCCGCUCUCGCUGCGCUAGGGCCACAGGCUGCGUAUGUGAAGCCGAUGAGACGUCACCUGAGCGACUCGUACAACGCGCCCCCCGCACCAUCCUCCUCCUCCGCGGGAGAGGUGGCCAUUCCAAGGAGCUGGUAUGACUCUUCUAGGCACUCUUUUCCCAGUAGAUCACCGCGGGCACGCACGCCAGGUCAGUCGCCUUCUCAACCCUUGUUUGUGUCAGCAUACAGCGGCGGCACAGUGUUGCCCUUCCCACCACGGGAAGGUCGAUCAAGGGCGCUGUCGCAGACUGACGAGCGCCACCGCGAGAUGCUCGCGUACAGCGAAGCACGCAGCGGGCGCGGCGACAGCAUCCUGCGUGAGGAGCGGGCGCGCGUAGCGGCACACAAGCUUUUGGGGAUCGAUGAGCUGCGCUCACAUCUGCGAGAGGAGACUCGGCAACUGAAACGGACACUGAGUGACUUACUGCACAGUCGCGUUUCGCCGCUGAACAGAGCUGAUGACGGUACAAUAUAUAAUGCGUCUCCUCCUGGCAUGUCUGUGUUGUGGUGAGACUGGCGUGGUGUGCCCUGCCCUGCCUCCCUUGAUCUUUACAAGAACGUCCCUCUCUCUCUCCGCCCCCCCCCCCCACUUCCUCUCUG
This 2882-nucleotide unclassified non-coding RNA is filed under the name Leishmania donovani. RNAcentral describes it as "gene:LdHU3.30.2690(CDS-product:hypothetical_prote in_conserved)". Lineage: Eukaryota; Euglenozoa; Kinetoplastea; Trypanosomatida; Trypanosomatidae. The record is from RNAcentral.